GAGGGGAAGAGAAAGGACGGUACCCUCCGAAUAAGCCUCGGCUAACUACGUGCCAGCAGCCGCGGUAACACGUAGGAGGCGAGCGUUAUCCGGAUUUACUGGGUGUAAAGCGCGUGCAGGCGGUUCGGUAAGUUGGAUGUGAAAGCUCCUGGCUUAACUGGGAGAGGUCGUUCAAUACUGCCGGGCUAGAGGAUGGGAGAGGGAGGUGGAAUUCCGGGUGUAGUGGUGAAAUGCGUAGAUAUCCGGAGGAACACCAGUGGCGAAGGCGGCCUCCUGGCCCAUUUCUGACGCUCAGACGCGAAAGCUAGGGGAGCGAACGGGAUUAGAGACCCCGGUAGUCCUAGCCGUAAACGAUGUGAACUUGGCGUCGGCGGGUUUAAAUCCGUCGGUGCCGCAGCUAACGCGAUAAGUUCACCACCUGAGUACUACGGCCGCAAGGUUAAAACUCAAAGGAAUUGACGGGUCCCCGCACAAGCAGCGGAGCGUGUGGUUUAAUUCGUUGCUACACGAAGAACCUUACCAGGGUUUGACAUACAGGUGGUAGUGAAGCGAAAGCAGAACGACCCUUCGGGGAGCCUGUACAGGUGUUGCAUGGCUGUCGUCAGCUCGUGUCGUGAGAUGUUCGGUUAAGUCCGCUAACGAGCGCAACCCUCGCUGUGUGUUACAUGUGUCACACGGGACUGCCGGUGUCAAGCCGGAGGAAGGUGGGGAUGACGUCAAGUCAGCAUGACCUUUAUAUCCUGGGCUACACACACGCUACAAUGGUCGGCACAAUGGGUCGCUAAGCCGCGAGGUAGAGCCAAUCCUCAAAGUCGGCCUCAGUUCAGAUCGCAGGCUGCAACUCGCCUGCGUGAAGCCGGAGUUGCUAGUAACCGCAGGUCAGCUAUACUGCGGUGAAUACGUUCCCGGGGGUUGUACUCACCGCCCGUCAAG
Molecule: ribosomal RNA, 933 nt
Filed under: uncultured bacterium
Lineage: Bacteria
Description: bacterial SSU rRNA
Rfam family: Bacterial small subunit ribosomal RNA
Source: RNAcentral